This 1315-nucleotide long non-coding RNA is filed under the name Strigops habroptila (Kakapo). RNAcentral describes it as "lncRNA (ENSSHBG00005018880.1)". Lineage: Eukaryota; Metazoa; Chordata; Aves; Psittaciformes; Psittacidae. The record is from RNAcentral.
GCUGCUAAAGCAGAAAGCACCUCCCUCAUCUGGGCUUUCCCUGCCUGUCCCUGUGCCCAUAGGAAACUGUGGGUGACUCUUGCCAGAGCCAAUGUGUGGGGUUUUCGUCCUCCUCAUAAAUCCAUUCAUUAGAGGAAUGUGGUUUGUUUUAAGUGAGGGGGAAAUGCCCUGUCAACAGUCCUCAUGUGGCCAGCUUUCGUGGCCUUGGGGCAGAUGUACGUGGUUGCUCUGGUCCCAUGACCUGGACUGUGUGUGAUGAUGCACCAGCUUCAUUUCCCUGUUCUUCUGACAAUCAUGGUCUUGGAAGAGAUCAGCCAAAAGAUACACCCUUGCCUUAAAACCACCACGGGCAUUUCACAGACUGGAGCCUGAGGCCUUUGUUCCCAUGGGAAUUUUCAUCCUGAAUGUGCCAAACAAGCAGACAAACCAAAAAGGCUGAAGAGGACAGCAGGGGCAUGGGGAAGGGAUUGUGCUGGGGUCCCCACGGCCAUCCUGGUGGCCUUGUGGCUGUGCCUUGCUGUGCUUUCUGCUACCAGCGUGAUGUGGAUGUUUGUGAGCAUGUGAGGUUGAUUUGUCUGCGGAAGGGAAGGAGCAGCCCCUUCUCUAACUAAAGCAAUAGUGCCAGGGUGUUCAGGAGCAAAGCAAUUGUCUUUUUUAAAGGAAUUCUAGUAUCAUCAGACAUAUUUGUUAGAUUUCUUCUGUUCUAAGAAAGAGAGAGAGAUAUAUUUUUAACAAUGUCCUCUUCAUGUCUCCCCCAUCACCACUGUGGCUGUCCCAUGGGGAUGGAAGGUGUAAUCAUGUAGGGAGAUGGGACCCCCCAUCCCUGUCAGGGAGAGGUGCAGCUCCUGCAGCCAGCCCAAUCACUCCCUGUCCUGCCUUGGCUUUGUCACCAAAGGGUCACUUAAAGUAUUCCCCUUUCACGAGUGCCUAUGAACCCCUUGUUACUGUCCAAGUUGCUGCCUGGGAGUCCAGGGGCUGCCACGAGCUGUGCCAGGGCCAUGGAGGGGUGUUAUUCCCAUGGGAUGGCCAAUGGACAUUGCAUGGGUGGGAGCACCCAACACGUGGCCUUGGUUCUUCUCCUCUCUCUCUGUUCCCUUUCCUCCUCCUGGCAUCUUGCAGAGAAUUGAAUGUGGAGCCUUUAAAACUAUUUCUGUUGCAGAGUAUAUUUUGUAUUAGCUGGAAUAGAUAAUUAUAAUGACUCUGUGCACCUUCUAAAGAUUUAUGAGUUCAGGUUGCUGCUUGUAAUAACCAACCCUUGUUAUACCCAAGUUGUAAUUAAUAUGUCUGAUGUACAAUUAAAAAGUCGGGGUUUUUU